This is a long non-coding RNA of Solanum stenotomum, 419 nucleotides long. RefSeq lists it as uncharacterized. The transcript is spliced from 3 exons. The record is from RefSeq and is a predicted model, not a curated record. NCBI's taxonomy places the organism in Eukaryota, Viridiplantae, Streptophyta, Magnoliopsida, Solanales, Solanaceae.
GGUGACCGGUCUCAUAGAUUAGAAACAAAAAAGAAGAAAGAAAAGAAAUAUCCAAACCAAAGAGGUGACCGGUCUCAUAGAUUAGAAACGACAAAGAAGAAAGAAAAAGAAAUAUCCAAACCAAAGAGGUUACCAUUGACGAAAGAGGGAUGACACAGUACUCCAUUGAGAUGGCCCAAAUAGAUGGUGACCAAAUUCCACUGCUUUUUCAAACUAAAAAGGAUGAGGUCUCUCACUCUCUCAACUAUACAAAAUAGAAUAGUUUUUUCCUUUUCUUCAAUGUAAAUUUAGGUCUACCUCAUGGUCCUAACAUGUUCACUAACAAUGGUUUAAUUUAUAUGUGCUACUUGAUAUAUAUAUGUUGUUGGUUUUUUACAGGAUUGAAACGUAUGCUCUGAUACCAAAUAAAAAGGAUAUAU